This 371-nucleotide ribosomal RNA is filed under the name uncultured organism. RNAcentral's name for it is "bacterial SSU rRNA". It matches the Rfam family "Bacterial small subunit ribosomal RNA", at positions 526 to 896 of the family's 1533-position model. The record is from RNAcentral.
CGAGAGGCCCAAACGUUAUUCGGAUUUACUGGGCUUAAAGAGUUCGUAGGCGGUCCGUCAAGUGAGGUGUGAAAGCCCUCGGCUCAACCGAGGAAUUGCGCUUCAAACUGUCGGGCUCGAGGGAGAUAGAGGUGAGCGGAACUGAUGGUGGAGCGGUGAAAUGCGUUGAUAUCAUCAGGAACACCAGAGGCGAAGGCGGCUCACUGGGUCUUUUCUGACGCUGAGGAACGAAAGCUAGGGGAGCAAACGGGAUUAGAUACCCCGGUAGUCCUAGCCGUAAACGAUGAGCACUGGACCGGAGCUCUGCACAGGGUUUCGGUCGUAGCGAAAGUGUUAAGUGCUCCGCCUGGGGGAGUAUGGUCGCAAGGCUG